Molecule: ribosomal RNA, 1470 nt
Filed under: uncultured Bacillota bacterium
Lineage: Bacteria; Bacillati; Bacillota
Description: bacterial SSU rRNA
Rfam family: Bacterial small subunit ribosomal RNA
Source: RNAcentral
UAAUACAUGCAAGUUGAAAGGGGAAAUCUUACUUGAAGGUGCUUGCACCGGAUUGUUUUAUUUCUUAGUGGCGAACGGGUGAGUAACACGUAGGUAACCUGCCUUUUAGUUGGGAAUAACAUUGGGAAACCAUUGCUAAUACCGAAUAUGAAUAUUGAGGGCAUCCUCGAUAUUUGAAAGGGGCUCUAAAGCCCCGCUAAUAGAUGGACCUGCGGUGCAUUAGCUAGUUGGUGAGAUAACAGCUCACCAAGGCGAGGAUGCGUAGCCGACCUGAGAGGGUGAUCGGCCACAAUGGGACUGAGACACGGCCCAUACUCCUACGGGAGGCAGCAGUAGGGAGUUUUCGGCAAUGGGGGGAACCCUGACCGAGCAAUGCCGCGUGAGCGAAGAAGGUCUUUGGAUUGUAAAGGCUCUGUUGUAGGGGAUGAACUGACUAGGAAGGAAAAUGUCCUGGUCUUGGACAGUACCUUACCAGAAAGCCACGGCUAAACUACGUGCCAGCAGCCCGCGGUAAUACGUAGGGGGGCAAGGCGUUUAUCCGGAAUUUAUUGGGGGUUAAAGCGUGAGCAGGCGGCCGUUUAAGUUUGAAGUCAAAUCCAGGGGCUCAAACCCCUGUCCGCUUUGAAAACUGGAUGGCUAGAGUACGAGAGAGGUAUGUGGAAUUCCAAGUGUAGCGGUGAAAUGCGUAGAUAUUUGGAGGAACACCAGUGGCGAAGGCGGCAUACUAGCUCGAUACUGACGCUCAGUCACGAAAGCGUGGGGAGCAAAUAGGAUUAGAUACCCUAGUAGUCCGCGCCGUAAACGUUGAGAACUAAGUGUUGGGGAGACCCAGUGCUGAAGCUAACGCAUUAAGUUCUCCGCCUGAGGAGUACGCACGCAAGUGUAAAACUUAAAGGAAUUGACGGGGGCCCGCACAAGCAGUGGAGCACGUGGUUUAAUUCGAGGCUACGCGAAGAACCUUACCAGGGCUUGACAGGAAACUUAAGACCCUAGAGAUAGGGGGAUAAUAAGUGAAACAGGUGGUGCAUGGUUGUCGUCAGCUCGUGUCGUGAGAUGUUCGGUUAAGUCCGGCAACGAGCGCAACCCUUGUCCUUAGGUUGCCAUCAUUAAGUUGGGGGACUCUAAGGGAGACCGCCGGUGCAAAUCGGAGGAAGGUGGGGAUGAACGUCAAAUCAUCAUGCCCUUUAUGUCCUGGGCGACACACGUGCUACAAUGGCCGUUACAAAGAGCAGCAAAACCGCGAGGUCAAGCAAAUCUCAUAAAGACGGUCUCAGUUCGGAUUGGAGUCUGCAACUCGACUCCAUGAAGUCGGAAUUGCUAGUAAUCGUAGAUCAGCCAUGCUACGGUGAAUACGUUCCCGGGCCUUGUACACACCGCCCGUCAAACCAUGAAAGCUGGUGAUACUCGAAGUCGGUAUCCUAACUUUGCAAAAAGAGGGAGCCGCCCAAGGUAGGAUCAGUAAUUGGGGUU